CUGAAACAAAAGAGCAUUAGACACCUAAACACAUAACAUCUUCAAAAUCCUAAUUAAACAAUCAUAAAGAAAUGCACAAACUCAACUAAAAGUAUUUUGA
Molecule: long non-coding RNA, 100 nt
Organism: Neltuma alba
Lineage: Eukaryota; Viridiplantae; Streptophyta; Magnoliopsida; Fabales; Fabaceae
Exons: 3
Source: RefSeq, a predicted model, not a curated record